GAGCACGCGCGUGUGGCAUAUCAAUAAGCGGAGGAAAAGAAACUAACAAGGAUUCCCUUAGUAACGGCGAGUGAAGCGGGAAGAGCUCAAAUUUGAAAUCUUCAAGGUUCUACCUUGACGAAUUGUAGUUUAUAGAAGUGUUUUCUGUUAGUGGAGUGGCAAAAGUUCUUUGGAAUAGGACAUCAUAGAGGGUGAGAAUCCCGUAUUUGGUCAUUCCUCCUAGCGUUGUGAUACACUUUCAACGAGUCGGAUUGUUUGGGAAUGCAGUCCAAAAUGGGUGGUAAAUUUCAUCUAAAGCUAAAUAUUGGCGAGAGACCGAUAGCGAACAAGUACCGUGAGGGAAAGAUGAAAAGAACUUUGAAAAGAGAGUUAAACAGUACGUGAAAUUGUCAAAAGGGAAGCGUUUGACACCAGUGUUGUUUUUCCGAAAAUCAAUUACGAAUGUUUUAUUUUUGAGGAGUUAUGACUUCAUCGGCUUGCUCCUUUCUUUAUGAAACUUUCUUAAUGCACUUUUCGGUUAACAAGUCAACAUCAAUUUCUUUUGUUGUAAAAGGGUAUGAGGAAGGUGGCUUUCUUUUCGGAGAAAGUGUUUAUAGCCUUGUGCCUCUGCAAUCGGAGAGAUUGAGGUCUGCAGCGUAGAUCCUUCGGGGUUAGAUACGUUUGUGCUAAGUUAUAGCCUUUCAUAGACAACUUGUUGACUAUGUUUAGUCUUGUAGCUUACUCGCUUACUGCUAUUAUACCUACGCUUAGGAUGUUGAACUCUAUCACACACAG
This 774-nucleotide ribosomal RNA is filed under the name uncultured Neocallimastigales. RNAcentral describes it as "partial large subunit ribosomal RNA". It matches the Rfam family "Eukaryotic large subunit ribosomal RNA", at positions 19 to 621 of the family's 3401-position model. Lineage: Eukaryota; Fungi; Neocallimastigomycota; Neocallimastigomycetes; Neocallimastigales. The record is from RNAcentral.